Molecule: transfer RNA, 64 nt
Filed under: Eisenia spelaea
Lineage: Eukaryota; Metazoa; Annelida; Clitellata; Crassiclitellata; Lumbricidae
Description: tRNA-Thr
Rfam family: tRNA
About the family: Transfer RNA (tRNA) molecules are approximately 80 nucleotides in length. Their secondary structure includes four short double-helical elements and three loops (D, anti-codon, and T loops).
Source: RNAcentral
GAAUUGAAAGCUAAAUAUAGGCAUUGGUCUUGUAAAUCAAAGAUAGGGGACCCCUCUCAAUUCU